This 375-nucleotide ribosomal RNA is filed under the name uncultured bacterium. Its description in RNAcentral is "bacterial SSU rRNA". It matches the Rfam family "Bacterial small subunit ribosomal RNA", at positions 28 to 404 of the family's 1533-position model. The record is from RNAcentral.
GACGAACGCUGGCGGCGUGCUUAACACAUGCAAGUCAGGGGCGGCCCUUUCGGGGGUCGUCACCGGCGAACGGGUGCGUAACACGUGAGCGACCUGCCCUGGAGUGGGGGAGUAGCCGGGCCCAACGGCCGGGUAAUACCGCAUACGACGCGUCGGGGGCAUCCCCGGGGCGUGAAACCCGAGAGGGACUCGAGGAGGGGCUCGCGGCCUAUCAGCUAGUUGGCGAGGUAACGGCUCACCAAGGCGAUGACGGGUAGCUGGUCUGAGAGGAUGGCCAGCCACAUUGGGACUGAGGAGACGGCCCAGACUCCUACGGGAGGCAGCAGUGGGAAUCUUGCGCAAUGGCCGAAAGGCUGACGCAGCGACGCCGCGUGC